Molecule: long non-coding RNA, 560 nt
Organism: Salvia miltiorrhiza (redroot sage)
Lineage: Eukaryota; Viridiplantae; Streptophyta; Magnoliopsida; Lamiales; Lamiaceae
Exons: 2
Source: RefSeq, a predicted model, not a curated record
AAAAUUAGAUAAUUUUAAGCGCUAACUAAAAAACUAAUUGCACCCCUUAUUUUCCUUAAUUAAUUAAUCGUUUUCUCCCUAUUUCUUCUUAAAAGUGAAACUUUCACCCAAUCCAUGUAUCUUCGUCUUCUCCCUCAACCCAUUCUCUCUUUGUCUUCUUCACCUCUCUUCGUCUUCUUCAUCGAUUCUUCGCCAGUUGUUUGACGGAGGGAAGAGAGCAACGACUGUUGCUUGAGGGAAGCGCAGAGAGAGGCCAGAGAUAUGUCGAUUUGAGGGAUGAGGGAUCCCCGAUUUUUCUCAAUUUCUUGCGCUUGAGCUCCAUGGCAGAAAUAUGGGGUCGUAAUCAAGGUUGCUUGACAGAGACGAGAGGUCCUCUUCUUCGGCUCCUCCGAUCAAAGCCACGUCGGCCGCGGCGAUUUCCAGGAAGACCGGCAGCGGUGAUUUCCAGAAAGCCCACCAGGGGGAACGCGUCAGAUUAUCUCUCAAUUCGAUUCAUUUUUGUUUAAUUCUGUGUGAACCCAAUGCCGAUUUCUAGCUCAAUCUUCUUUUUGUUUUAAACU